AACGUACGCUGGCGGCACGCCUAACACAUGCAAGUCGAACGAAGUAGCAAUACUUAGUGGCAGACGGGUGAGUAACAUGUAGGUAUCUGCCCUUUGGCCUGGAAUAACACGAGGAAACUUGUGCUAAUACCGGAUAAGUCUUUACGGAGAAAGCUUUAUGCACCAUUGGAUGAGCCUGCACUUGAUUAGUUUGUUGGUGGGGUAAUGGCCUACCAAGACUGUGAUCAAUAGCUGAUUUGAGAGGAUGAUCAGCCACAUUGGGACUGAGACACGGCCCAAACUCCUACGGGAGGCAGCAGUGGGGAAUCUUGCACAAUGGAGGAAACUCUGAUGCAGCGAUGCCGCGUGAGUGAAGAAGGCCUUUGGGUUGUAAAGCUCUUUCGUCGGGGAAGAAAAUGACUGUACCCGAAUAAGAAGGUCCGGCUAACUUCGUGCCAGCAGCCGCGGUAAUACGAAGGGACCUAGCGUAGUUCGGAAUUACUGGGCUUAAAGAGUUCGUAGGUGGUUGAAAAAGUUAGUGGUGAAAUCCCAGAGCUUAACUCUGGAACUGCCAUUAAAACUUUUCAGCUAGAGUAUGAUAGAGGAAAGCAGAAUUUCUAGUGUAGAGGUGAAAUUCGUAGAUAUUAGAAAGAACACCAAUGGCGAAGGCAGCUUUCUGGAUCAUUACUGACACUGA
Molecule: ribosomal RNA, 676 nt
Filed under: alpha proteobacterium IMCC14643
Lineage: Bacteria; Pseudomonadati; Pseudomonadota; Alphaproteobacteria
Description: bacterial SSU rRNA
Rfam family: Bacterial small subunit ribosomal RNA
Source: RNAcentral